Molecule: long non-coding RNA, 293 nt
Organism: Tupaia belangeri chinensis (Chinese tree shrew)
Lineage: Eukaryota; Metazoa; Chordata; Mammalia; Scandentia; Tupaiidae
Exons: 3
Source: RefSeq, a predicted model, not a curated record
CUCAAGCAGAGGCCCAAAAUUCUGAGGAGCUGGAAGGCUGGGAAAAGUGGAUCUUGUCAAAACAGAACACAUCUAAGUGAGAAGAGAGAACGAGGAGAGAAGGAGGAGAUAGCAUAUCCAGCACGGUCUAGAUGCCGAAAUCCACCCUGACCCUGUAGGCAGUCCUGGAUCGUGGCUGUAAGACGGAAGUGGAGGAUGCUUCAUGAUAGGCGGAGAAGUGGGAUGAGACUCUUCCAGCUUCACUUUGUUGGCUUCUGGCUUGCCAGGCCUGAAGAUGGGAAAACUCAUGAAGU